UUCACUAUACAGGGUUAGGUGCAGAGUGCAAAAGGUGACAGGUAGAUGAGUUAUAAAGUCUUAUCGCAGGUAGGAACGAUUUCCUGUAUCGUUCCUUAGAGCAGCGGGGUUGAAUGAGUCUGUUGCUGAAGCUGCUCUUCAGUUUGUCCAGUGUUUUGUGGAUGGGGUGAGAGGGAUUGUCCAUUAUUGCCAGCAGUUUUGCCAGCAUCCUGUCCUCCACCACCUCCUCCAGGGUGAUAAGCUUAGAGCCAACAACAGACUCUGCUUUCCUGACCAGUUUGUUCAGUCUGUUGGCGUCCUUUGCCUUGAUGCCCGCACCCCAGGACACCGCAGCAAAGAAGAUGGUGCUCGCCACAACAGACUGAUAAAACAUCUGCUUGCACACAUUAAAGGACCUGAGCCUUCUCACGAAGUAAAGCUGACUCAGGCCCUUCUUGUAGAUAGCCUCUGUGUUGGUGGACCAGUCCAGUUUAUUGUCCAGUGUGACACCCAGGUACUUGUAUGCAGGGACCAUCAGAGAAUUUCUGCAGAUGACACGACCAGGGGCGGUUCUAGACUUUUUUUAGUGGGGUGGCCAGGGGGAGGCCGGCAGGCGUUAGGGGUGGCCGAUCGAAAUGUCCGACGGGGGGGGGGUGCGAUGCGAUCGUAAUGUUCGUAUUAUUGAUGCCGACUCCUCUUUCGGGGGGGCCCGCAGGGGGGGCCGGACUCAGACUCCCCCCGGGCCCCCCCUCUGGCACCGCCCCUGGACACGACUCAGUGCAGUACUGAAAGUCAGCAAUGUAUGUGGUGAAGAGGAAGGGGGACAGUACAGUUCCCUGGGGGGCCCUGAUGUUACUGAUCAGACGGUCAGACACACAGUUCUGUAAUCUCACCAAUUGUGGUCUGCCUGUCAGAUAGUCAUCAACCCAAGUCACGAGGGGAGCACCCACCUGCGUGUCCUCCAGUUUGGCCUUCAGCAGUCUGAGCUGGAUGGUGUUGAAGGCGCUGCAGAAGUCAAAGAACAUGAUGUGGACUGAGGUGUUGGGUCGGUCCAGGGAGGAGUAAGCCUUCUGCAGUAGGUAGAUGAUUGCAUCAUCAACCCCAACAUGGGGCUGAUAUGCAAACUGCAGGGGGUCGUGUGAUGGGCACACCAGUGGUCUGAGGUGUGCCAGGACCAGUCUCUCCAUAAUAUGAGAGGUCAGUGCCACCGGCCUGCAGUCCCCCAGUGCAGCAGGACGUCCUUUAUUGGGCACAGGGACCAGGCAGGAUGUCUUCCACAGCACCAGUAUCCUGACCUGACUCAGGCUAACAUGGGGCUGAUACCAUCAGGGCCAGCAGCUUUCUGGGUAGUUUUAUUGUAUUUGUAGGCUGUUAUAUUUAAAUAAAUGAAUAAAUAAAUACUAAUGUAACACAAUGAAUGUAAAUAAUUUUAAAUCUACAUUGGAAUUUACUACUUACUUUACUUGUUAACCUAAGCAUAACUUUUUAUUGUGCAGUGUUUUUUAAGCAUCAUCCGAAUUCAAGUUUGGUUUUACCCACCAACAAGCAGAACUAUUUGAUAUGAACGCGCCGCUGCUCCGCCCCCGAUACACGCAUUGCUGGCUACCAUAAACGUCAGUCAGUCACUGAGCCUCACGGAGAACACAUGCUGUCUGCAGUAAGCUUGACCCGCGAGUUUUCGUCUUCCGACACUCUUUAAUACUUCUCAAAGAGGCGAAGAAGGUAAGAAAUAACUUAACUAUAGUCGUGCAUAUAAUAAUAUAAAUGAGUAUUUACUUGGCUUCAUAAGGCUAGCUAGCUAGCUAAGUAAACUAGCUUAGGUAUCAGCGCAUUUUGGCCACGUGCGUCAAGUGUGAGCAGUAGUAGGCCUAUAAAGUAAAUGUAUUCCUUUAUGAUAAACGAUUUUUUUCCCACGUAAUAAUUAGGCAUUUCUUGUUGUGCCAAGUUGCUUACGGAGGACACCAUUACAUUUUUACUUAUAUGAAAUGAUUGUGUUGUUUUUUUACAUAAAAUGAAUCGGUAUGAAUUAAUGACACAUUUAAGUAAUUAUUUAAUGGUUUAUUUAUUUAUUUUAUUUUGGCAGCUUUAGUCCUCCUCCACUAACUUAAAACGUCUUGUGCUGUAUUUUUUCCCGCUGGCUGCAGGUGCCGCUUCUACAGCGAGCCACGCUUCAGAAGCACUUCGGCAGUCUUGUUUUUUUCCACUGUUUUCAGUCUUUGAUACUUCCCAAAGAGGCGAAGAAGGUGCCGCUUCUACAGCGAGCCACCCUCCAGAAACCUUGAAGGACAAAGAGUUUGUCGACCACGACUUUCAGUAUGUCACAUCUCGCAACCUUAAGUUGAGGCUGUUAAUGUGUGUGCGCAGUGGAGCCUUAGAGAUCUUUUCUUACAGAAUUCAGUGCAGUUAGUACUCAAGAGACUGUGGUCAUUCCUUCCAGAGUUCAGAACUUCGUGUGCAGAGUUCUUAAGUUGUCUUCUAGUUUAUAAUGUUCUAUUGUGCUGGGUAGAGUAUUCUGGAGAUUUUCCUACAGUGGGCUAUAAUGGCAUAUGUUAUGCCAAAGUUCAAAUGCCUUUCAUGUGGUAUCUCCCUGAAAAGUAUUAAAAGCUAUGUUGAUCAUCAGCUUCUGCAUAGACAUGAGGCAAAUAGCUACUAUCCAUAUUGCUUUGCAGACUGCAAACAAAAAUUCACCAAGUACACUGCUUUAAAAGCUCAUGUCUAUCGUUCCCACAACAGUCCUGUUUUACUGUUUGAAGACACACAAAGGUCAUUUGUAUGUGAUGAUGUGCAUUGUAAGAAGACAUGCAUAGAUUUGAGAGAUCUUGUUGCACACCUCAAGGUACAUUUGAAUAAGCAUGAGUUAGUACAUUGCCCAUUUAGCAAUUGUAACAAGACGUUUAAAGUGAAGUCCUCAUUUACAUCCCAUGUUUCAAGAACACAUAAACAUGAAAUUGUAAAUACUCAAGUCAAAUACUCUGAGCCAUCUGUAUCCUCUCAGAUUGAGCCCAAUGAAACUGAAACUGGAAUGGACCAAAGUGAAAAUCAGUCUCAGGUUUUGGAAGAGAUUGAUAUAAGGUCUUUGUACAUGAAGAAUCUGUGCCUGUUUUACAUGCAACUCCAGGCAAAGUAUCUGGUUCCGUCAUCAACUAUUCAAAUGAUUGUUGAAGAGAUCAAUGGCCUUAAUGACAUUUGUCAUCAGUACACAAAAGACAAAAUUAAAGAGACACUUAGAGGAAAUACUAAUAUGUCAGAUGCUGAGAUUGAUUCAGUUUUUCAGAGUCUUCAGGAAGCUGAUUUGCAUGCUUCAUGUAGUUCUCGGCUCUCCACAGAAUAUAUUAGGAGGCAGUAUUUUGAGAAGAACUUUGCCUAUGUGCACCCAGAAAAUGUUUUUCUGGGCACCAAUGAGCAUAGAAGAGACAGUUAUGCACAAUACAUACCCUUGCAUGACACUUUAAGAGCUAUUCUAAAGGAUACUGUUGUGUGGGAAGAGUGUGUUAGGUCUCAAAAUCGGCCUGUUUCUGAUGUCGUCUUAAGUGAUAUUUCUGAUGGCUCUGUCUUCAAAUCCAGUGACAUGUUUCUACAAGCUGGUGACAUCAUCUUAAAACUGAUAUUGUAUCAGGAUGCAUUUGAAGUUGUCAACCCACUUGGGUCAUCCAGGAGAAAACAUAAGCUUGUGGGAGUAUACUUCACACUUGCUGACUUUGAGCCAUUCCAUCUUUCCAGUAUUGACCAUUUGCAGUUAGUACUGUUGUGCAAAGAGAAAGACUUUAAGUCCUUUGGUCAGGACAUAGUGUUUGAGAGAUUGUUGUCAGACCUGAGACAGCUUGAAGAACAUGGACUUGUAACCACUUCUGGUCAUGUGGUUCGAGCAACAAUAAUAUCUAUUGUAGGUUACAAUUUGGGAUCACACUGCAUUGGGGGCUACACACAGAAUUUCAGCACUUCCAAGUACUUCUGCAGGUAUUGUGAGAUAAAAAGAGACCAACUUGAGAGUGUGAGUCAGAGCUUUCCUGUACGAACAGUCGAUAACUACAAAGAAGCAGUGCAUUUAUUGCAGGAGAGUGAUGUGAAUGACGUCAAAGGCAUCUAUUGUGACUCCAUCUUUAACACACUGAAAUAUUUCCAUGUAUGUCAGCCAGGCCUUCCUCCAUGCAUAGGGCAUGACUUGUUUGAGGGAGUUGUAGCUUAUGACUUGGCCAUUUACUUGCGUAACUUCAUAAAGGUCAAGCAUUGGCUCACAUACUCUCAGCUGAACAGGCAAAUCACACAAUUUUCCUACAAGGACUCAGAUUCCAGCUCAUCUCCUUGUCAAGUGAAUGAAAAGGCCAUCACAAUAGGUGGCCAAGCAGCUGAGAACUGGUGUCUGCUUAGACUCCUGCCUGUCAUUAUUGGUGACAAAGUUGAUCCUCAUGACCCAGUGUGGCAACUAGUGAUCACUCUGAAAGAACUUGUGGAACUAGUGUGUGCACCCAAGAUCACCACUGCCCAGGUGGCUUACCUCAACAUUGUUGUGGUUGAAUAUCUGGAAACAAGGAAAGCAAUGUUUCCUUCUGAUCACCUGAAACCCAAGCACCACUAUCUUCUCCAUUAUGCAUCAUUGAUCCUCAAACUGGGUCCCCUAAUACGGCUGUGGACAAUGAGAUUUGAGAGUAAACACUCUUACUUCAAGAGGUGUGUGAGGAGGAUACAAAACUUUAAGAAUAUAUGCCAGUCUCUCGCAAAUCAGCACCAACUCCUCCAAACAACCCUCAGCUCAAACUCCUUUUUUGCACCAGUGCUGAAGUCAAAAAACGUUACUCCAUAUCAUGCUCACCUGUACAGUGAUGCAGUGCGCAAUGCAGUUGAAGCACACAUGUUUACAGAACCGGAUUCUGUGUCAACUGAGGUAGAUUUUAAGGGCACUCGGUACAAAAAGGGAUCUUUUCUGUGCCUCAAACGCGAGUCUGAUGAGUCAAUCAAGUUUGGCCAGAUUGAGCUUGUUUUGAUAAUCAAUGACAAAAAGGUGUGCUUUCUGGUGACACCGCACACUUCAGUGUAUUUAUCAGAGUAUGGACUCUAUGAAGUCAAACAAGCAGCUGAGGAUAUGCACUGCAUUAAUGCAGAACACUGCCUGGAUUCCUACCCAUUGCCUCUUUACAAUCUGAAUGGAAAUACAGUGAUAUCUCUGAAGCACAGUGUUGUUGAUCAGUAGUAGUGUGAUGAGGUGUUGGGAAGAAGUUUUUGACUAGUGUGUCUAUGGGGGGAAAUUACAUAUAUUAAUCAAAGUAACAUGGUAAUUGUGCUGUGAAGUGUAAUCCACAAUCUGUUAUCCACUAAACAAUAAUUUAUGUUUUGUCCCCUCUUGAAGUCAUGGAUGGAUGGGUGGGUGACGUAACUUCAUCCCUCAGCUCAUUCUUUAAAGAAGAAGAUUCUAUAGCACAAGUAGUGGAGGUGCUCAAAAACAUUGGCGUCUGUUCAGCUGAGGACCUAAAAUUUGUGGAGGCAGCUGACCUUGCAGCAGUCCUGAGGCCAAUAGAGGCCAGGAAAGCCAUGGCCUGCAUUAAAAAUUUAGUGACUAGAGUAGAGGAUACAUCCUCCUCAAUAUCUACCAGCCAGAUUGUUGAACCCAACAACGAAGAAUCAUUUGUGAGUGACGACAUGAGUGAUGAUUUUCCCAUGAGUGUUCACUCCACACCGAAAUCCACUGCUACAAGCAGUCCAGCUUUGACCAUAGCCUCACCUACUGGAUCAGAGAGCAGUGUCAGAGAAGAUACUAGCUGGCAUUACAGGUUUGACAUACCCUGGAGUAAGAUGCCCUCCAGCACAAGACAACUUUUAGAUAAUGGUAAGAGGCCUUCUGCAGCACAGAGAAGGGACAUUAUUAGGAUUGUGGCUAGUGAGGUGCUAACUGUGUGCAAAAAACCUGGCAAGAAACACAUUAAUGAAAUUUCAAGAAAGAUGGUACUUUGCUACCCAAAAUCCUUCCGAGAUGAGAUUGAGGGUCAGAUUGUCGGCACUGGGUAUGACUCACUUGUAAAACAGUUAAUAUCUCGGCUAGAUAAUUGCAGACGACUCCAAGCUUCUACUGCCCAGAAAAGGCUUCCUGAAAGUUGCAGCCCUGACAAUGUAAAGAGAGUGUGCAAAGAUGCAUAUGGCUGUAUUAACUCUGAGCCAGUGCUUUCUCCUGGUGAAACAAAACUGCAAAAGCAAAAACAAGAAGAGCUGGUUAAGAUGUUCAAAAACAAAGACAAAGAUGCAAAAAAAAUAGAAAGACUGUUGGUGGAGACUUUUCCCUCACAGAGGAGAGACGUACUGUCAGCACUGAAAGAGACGGAAGACUUUCUUAAGGAAUGGCCUUUCCUCUGCCAGGAAGCUGGAAUGAGGCUUCAUUUCAAAGAACUAACAGGUGUCCAGUUAGAUGCCAGCUUUGAAGAGUCCACAGCCACCAAGUUCAGAAGAAUCCUGCGGUACUUUCAGUUUGGUAAAACUGAGUCAUCCAGCGAAGCAAGAACCAUUCUGAGCAAAGCCCUGGCAGGAGGUGAAGAAACUAGUGCAGCUGUACUGAUGCUUGUUGCCCAUUUCAAAGAGCAGCAAGAUAAGAUGUUUGUAAAUGUUGAUGACACUGCCAUUGGAGUUGACGUGGACACCACCAAGCUACCAUGGACACCCUGCAUUGUGGUCUGCGGUAACAGCCCACUUACUGCCAAGAUGUUCAUGGUUGCAGUGGACCAGGUCAUUGUGAAUGAGCAGCUUCCCUGCUUCACCAAGGCGUUAGAGAUGAUGUUCUGCUCAUAUUAUCUGCACAACAUUGAUUAUCCUGUUGCACUCGCAGCUACUCUGGAGUUCUUACAGAGGUGUAUCUUCAAAAUCAACCCAGAUCAGGGGACCAAAGUCAAGCGAAAAGAAAAGGGACGCCAGUAUGCUGUCAACCCAAGGGUGCUGAGCCUCAUCUCCAAUGUUGCCAAUUUUGAAUUGACAGAGUGAAAGGAUAUGAUGUCUGAACGGGUUUAGAACAAAGGUCUUCCUGGAACCCACCUUUUUAGGGAUGUUUCCAUGAGAGCUGUUUUGUUUAUUGAUGCUCCUUGAUGUCCCCCAGUUUAGCCAAAAAAAUAAACAGUGUUUGUUGCACCACUGUCA
Molecule: RNA transcript, 7092 nt
Organism: Gadus morhua (Atlantic cod)
Lineage: Eukaryota; Metazoa; Chordata; Actinopteri; Gadiformes; Gadidae
Exons: 6
Source: RefSeq, a predicted model, not a curated record